AAUGAACGCUGGCGGCAGGCCUAAAACAUGCAAGUCGAACGCCUGUAGCAAUACAGGAGUGGCGCACGGGUGCGUAACACGUGGGAAUAUGCCUAUUGGUACGGAACAGCUCCGGGAAACUGGAAUUAAUACUGUAUGAUUCCUUCGGGGUAAAGAUUUAUCGCCAAUAGAUUAGCCCGCGGUGGAUUAGCUAGUUGGUAGAGUAAUGGCCUACCAAGGCGACGAUACAUAGCUGGUCUGAGAGGACGAUCCGCCACACUGGGACUGAGACACGGACUAGACUUCUACGGGGGGCAGCAGUUAGGAAUAUUGGACAAUGGGCGCAAGCCUGAUCCAGCCAUGCCGCGUGAGUGAUGAAGGCCUUCGGGUUGUAAAACUCUUUAGCCGAUGAAUAUAAUGACUGUAGUCGGAAAAUAAGCCCCGGCUAACUUCGUGCCAGCAGCCGCGGUAA
Molecule: ribosomal RNA, 451 nt
Filed under: uncultured bacterium
Lineage: Bacteria
Description: partial 16S ribosomal RNA
Rfam family: Bacterial small subunit ribosomal RNA
Source: RNAcentral